UACGGAGGGUGCAAGCGUUAAUCGGAAUUACUGGGCGUAAAGCGCGCGUAGGCGGCUUGUUAAGUCGGAUGUGAAAGCCCAGGGCUCAACCUUGGAACUGCAUUCGAUACUGGCAAGCUAGAGUACGAGAGAGGGUGGUAGAAUUUCUAGUGUAGCGGUGAAAUGCGUAGAUAUUAGAAGGAAUACCGGUGGCGAAGGCGGCCACCUGGCUCGAUACUGACGCUGAGGUGCGAAAGCGUGGGGAGCAAACAGG
RNAcentral lists this ribosomal RNA (253 nucleotides) under uncultured bacterium. RNAcentral's name for it is "partial 16S ribosomal RNA". It matches the Rfam family "Bacterial small subunit ribosomal RNA", at positions 524 to 776 of the family's 1533-position model. The record is from RNAcentral.